Non-coding RNA from Nemania serpens, 99 nucleotides. Lineage: Eukaryota; Fungi; Ascomycota; Sordariomycetes; Xylariales; Xylariaceae. The record is from the annotation of a GenBank genome assembly.
GGCAUGUUGCCAGAGUGGUUAAUGGGUGAGACUUGAAUUCGGCUGAGUUUAAGCCAUCUCAUGACUUCGGUCGCGUAGGUUCAAAUCCUGCACAUGUCG